Molecule: non-coding RNA, 48 nt
Filed under: Schistosoma haematobium
Lineage: Eukaryota; Metazoa; Platyhelminthes; Trematoda; Strigeidida; Schistosomatidae
Source: RNAcentral
AUUCAGUUGAGGAGUCCCAACUAGGACGAAACGUGCAUCAAACUGGAU